Molecule: transfer RNA, 77 nt
Filed under: Dehalococcoidia bacterium
Lineage: Bacteria; Bacillati; Chloroflexota; Dehalococcoidia
Description: tRNA-Glu
Rfam family: tRNA
About the family: Transfer RNA (tRNA) molecules are approximately 80 nucleotides in length. Their secondary structure includes four short double-helical elements and three loops (D, anti-codon, and T loops).
Source: RNAcentral
GCCCCGUUAGUGUAGCGGCCCAUCACACUGCCCUCUCAAGGCAGAGAUCACGAGUUCGAAUCUCGUACGGGGUACCA